GUGUUGAAUAAUGCCUAUUUGUUCUCAAACCACAAAACAUAAAACGUGGGAAAAGAAGAGUAAUAAGUCAAGGUAACUGUUGUUUUGGUGUGAAAAAGUAUUUGUGUUGCAGUUGUCUAAGUAUAAGUCAAAAGUGUGAAGAGUACUCCUAAGUCUAAGUUAAUAAUAAGGUUAUAUGGAGAAAGAUCGAAGUGUUCUGUUCUCUGUAUAAAUAUGUAAUGGCCAUCGUUGUGUAAAGUAAGCAAGUAAGAAAUCAGUUCUCUUAUGUAAUGGCCAUUGUUGUAUAAAGGAAGCAAGUAAGAAAUCAGUUCUCUACUUCAUCUUUCUCUAUCUACUACCACCUCUCACUCAUACGUUCUACACACAAACAUUCAUCUGUUUUCUUUUCUUUGAACAAGACCAAAAAC
Molecule: long non-coding RNA, 407 nt
Filed under: Brassica napus (rape)
Lineage: Eukaryota; Viridiplantae; Streptophyta; Magnoliopsida; Brassicales; Brassicaceae
Description: long non-coding RNA (BNAP_LNC009710)
Source: RNAcentral